CUGAAGAAGAAGAUGAUGAUGGAG
This 24-nucleotide small RNA is filed under the name Arabidopsis thaliana (thale cress). RNAcentral's name for it is "ATSL001950". The record is from RNAcentral. Lineage: Eukaryota; Viridiplantae; Streptophyta; Magnoliopsida; Brassicales; Brassicaceae.